Molecule: ribosomal RNA, 253 nt
Filed under: uncultured bacterium
Lineage: Bacteria
Description: partial 16S ribosomal RNA
Rfam family: Bacterial small subunit ribosomal RNA
Source: RNAcentral
UACGUAGGGGGCUAGUGUUGUCCGGAAUCAUUGGGCGUAAAGCGCGUGUAGGCGGUUCGGUAAGUCCGCUGUGAAAGUCGGGGGCUCAACCCUCGAAUGCCGGUGGAUACUGUCGGACUAGAGUACGGAAGAGGCGAGUGGAAUUCCUGGUGUAGCGGUGAAAUGCGCAGAUAUCAGGAGGAACACCAAUUGCGAAGGCAGCUCGCUGGGACGUUACUGACGCUGAGACGCGAAAGCGUGGGGAGCAAACAGG